Non-coding RNA from Salvia hispanica, 467 nucleotides. NCBI's taxonomy places the organism in Eukaryota, Viridiplantae, Streptophyta, Magnoliopsida, Lamiales, Lamiaceae. The record is from RefSeq and is a predicted model, not a curated record.
CCACGCGAUGAUUUCCUAGUACUUCCACAUGUCCUUAUCAGUUUCUUCACCUCCCCCUUGAAUCGUUGGGCCUAUGGUGGGAGUUUCUCAUCAGCAGAGAGCCACACUUUUGCAGGUACAGGAUGGACAUGAGUCGGGAUAGAGACCUCCGCAUCUGAAUCCUCGUACUCUCUCAUGUCCCGCUGCGAUGAUCAUGCAAGCUCUGGAGAUGCCCAAAAGAAGCUGAUCCACAUUAGCCAGAUCAAUCAUGGGAGUGCAGAACAUGUUGAGUCUCUAAUUCGUGGACUUAAUUUGCUCGAGUUUGAGAAUUGGCAUCCGUGAUCGAAUUCAGGGGUUGUUUCUUCGGAAGUUUCUCUGGUAUUAUGUCACAUGCCAACCAUAUUUGUGAAAAUUCCCAUCCGCCGCUGCUCUAAGUUUGUAAGCGUCUUUCUCUCCUUCGAUUUAUUCAUUUUUCUGUUUUGUUUUAA